This 496-nucleotide ribosomal RNA is filed under the name uncultured bacterium. RNAcentral's name for it is "partial 16S ribosomal RNA". It matches the Rfam family "Bacterial small subunit ribosomal RNA", at positions 29 to 507 of the family's 1533-position model. The record is from RNAcentral.
AUGCACGCUGGCGGCGUGCCUAAUACAUGCCAGUCGAGCGAACGGACGAGAAGCUUGCUUCUCUGAUGUUGGCGGCGGACGGGUGAGUAACACGUGGAUAACCUACCUAUAAGACUGGGAUAACUUCGGGAAACCGUAGCUAAUACCGGAUAAUAUUUUGAACCGCAUGGUUCAAAAGUGAAAGACGGUCUUGCUGUCACUUAUAGAUGGAUCCGCGCUGCAUUAGCUAGUUGGUAAGGUAACGGCUUACCAAGGCAACGAUGCAUAGCCGACCUGAGAGGGUGAUCGGCCACACUGGAACUGAGACACGGUCCAGACUCCUACGGGAGGCAGCAGUAGGGAAUCUUCCGCAAUGGGCGAAAGCCUGACGGAGCAACGCCGCGUGAGUGAUGAAGGUCUUCGGAUCGUAAAACUCUGUUAUUAGGGAAGAACAUAUGUGUAAGUAACUGUGCACAUCUUGACGGUACCUAAUCAGAAAGCCACGGCUAACUACGUG